GACGAACGCUGGCGGCGUGCCUAACACAUGCAAGUCGAACGGAGAACAUUUAGCAAUAGAUGUUCUUAGUGGCGGACGGGUGAGUAACGCGUGAGCAAUCUGCCCUUCGGAGGGGGACAACAGCUGGAAACGGCUGCUAAUACCGCAUAACGUAUUUGGAUGGCAUCAUCUGAAUACCAAAGAUUUAUCGCCGAAGGAUGAGCUCGCGUCUGAUUAGCUAGUUGGUGGGGUAAAGGCCUACCAAGGCGACGAUCAGUAGCCGGCCUGAGAGGGUGGACGGCCACACUGGGACUGAGACACGGCCCAGACUCCUACGGGAGGCAGCAGUGGGGAAUAUUGCGCAAUGGGGGAAACCCUGACGCAGCGACGCCGCGUGAGCGAAGAAGGCCUUCGGGUCGUAAAGCUCUGUUUUAAGGGACGAAGUCUGCAUAGAAUAAUACGCUGUGCAGGUGACGGUACCUUACGAGAAAGCCCCGGCUAACUACGUGCCAGCAGCCGCGGUAAGACGUAGGGGGCGAGCGUUGUCCGGAAUUACUGGGCGUAAAGAGCACGUAGGCGGAUGCUUAAGUCAGGUGUGAAAGACCGCAGCUUAACUGCGGGGUUGCACUUGAAACUGGGUAUCUUGAGGGCAGGAGAGGUCAGUAGAAUUCCUGGUGUAGCGGUGAAAUGCGUAGAAAUCAGGAGGAAUACCAGUGGCGAAGGCGGCUUUCUGGACUGUAACUGACGCUGAGGCACGAAAGCGUGGGGAGCAAACAGGAUUAGAUACCCUGGUAGUCCACGCUGUAAACGAUGGAUACUAGGUGUGGGGGGACUAACCCCCUCCUGCCGGAUUUACACAUAAGUAUUCCCCUGGGGAGUACGGCCGCCAGGUUG
This 873-nucleotide ribosomal RNA is filed under the name uncultured bacterium. Its description in RNAcentral is "bacterial SSU rRNA". It matches the Rfam family "Bacterial small subunit ribosomal RNA", at positions 28 to 896 of the family's 1533-position model. The record is from RNAcentral.